GGAUGUGAGGGCGAUCUGGCUGCGACAUCUGUCACUCCAUUGAUCGCCAGGGUUGAUUCGGCUGAUCUGGCUGGCUAGGUGGGUGUCCACUUCCUCCCUCACCGCUCCAUGUGUGUCCCUCCCGAAGCUGUGCGCUCGGUCAAAGAGGACGACCUUCCCCGAAUAGAGGAGGAACGGUCUUCAGUCAAGGGUAUACGAGUAGCUGCGCUCCCCUGUUAGAACCUCCAAACAAGCUCUCAAGUUGAGGCAGGACCAAGCUCCUCCCCCUGGAAUCGAGGCUGGGCAAGACAUCCCACCAUAGGGAAUAGGU
Molecule: unclassified non-coding RNA, 310 nt
Organism: Mesocricetus auratus (golden hamster)
Lineage: Eukaryota; Metazoa; Chordata; Mammalia; Rodentia; Cricetidae
Gene: 7SK
Rfam family: 7SK RNA
About the family: 7SK was discovered as an abundant small nuclear RNA in the mid-70s but a possible function has only recently been suggested. Two independent studies have found that 7SK RNA binds the CDK9/cyclin T complex (known as elongation factor P-TEFb). P-TEFb activates transcription by phosphorylating the C-terminal domain of RNA polymerase II.
Source: Ensembl